Molecule: ribosomal RNA, 447 nt
Filed under: uncultured Syntrophaceae bacterium
Lineage: Bacteria; Pseudomonadati; Thermodesulfobacteriota; Syntrophia; Syntrophales; Syntrophaceae
Description: bacterial SSU rRNA
Rfam family: Bacterial small subunit ribosomal RNA
Source: RNAcentral
UGGAGCAUGUGGUUUAAUUCGAUGCAACGCGAAGAACCUUACCUGGCUUGACAUCCCUGGAAUCCCCUGGAAACGAGGGAGUGCCUUCGGGAGCCAGGAGACAGGUGCUGCAUGGCUGUCGUCAGCUCGUGUCGUGAGAUGUUGGGUUAAGUCCCGCAACGAGCGCAACCCUUGUCUUUAAUUGCCAUCAUUCAGUUGGGCACUUUAAAGAGACUGCCGGUGUUAAACCGGAGGAAGGUGGGGAUGACGUCAAGUCCUCAUGGCCUUUAUGCCCAGGGCUACAAACGUACUACAAUGGCCAAUACAAAGAGAUGCGAAGCGGUGACGUGAAGCGAACCUCAGAAAGUUGGUCUCAGUUCAGAUUGAAGUCUGCAACUCGACUUCAUGAAGGCGGAAUCGCUAGUAAUCGCGGGUCAGCAGACCGCGGUGAAUACGUUCCCGGGUUUU